GAUGAACGCUGGCGGCGUGCCUAAUACAUGCAAGUCGAGCGAACAGACGAGGAGCUUGCUCCUCUGACGUUAGCGGCGGACGGGUUAGUAACACGUGGAUAACCUACCUAUAAGACUGGGAUAAAUUCGGGAAACCGGAGCGAAUACCGGAUAAUAUAUUGAACCGCAGGGUUCAAUAGUGAAAGACGGCUGUGCUGUCACUUAUAGAUGGAUCCGCGCCGCAUUAGCUAGUUGGUAAGGUAACGGCUUACCAAGGCAACGAUGCGUAGCCGACCUGAGAGGGUGAUCGGCCACACUGGAACUGAGACACGGUCCAGACUCCUACGGGAGGCAGCAGUAGGGAAUCUUCCGCAAUGGGCGAAAGCUUGACGGAGCAACGCCGCGUGAAGGAUGAAGGUCUUCGGAUCGUAAACCUCUGUUAUUAGGGAAGAACAAAUUUGUACGUAACUAUGCACGUCUUGACGGUACCUAAUCAGAAAGCCACGGCUAACUACGUG
RNAcentral lists this ribosomal RNA (497 nucleotides) under uncultured bacterium. Its description in RNAcentral is "partial 16S ribosomal RNA". It matches the Rfam family "Bacterial small subunit ribosomal RNA", at positions 28 to 507 of the family's 1533-position model. The record is from RNAcentral.